RNAcentral lists this long non-coding RNA (233 nucleotides) under Lathyrus oleraceus (garden pea). Its description in RNAcentral is "Pisum sativum (pea) long non-coding RNA (PSAT_LNC011436)". The record is from RNAcentral. Lineage: Eukaryota; Viridiplantae; Streptophyta; Magnoliopsida; Fabales; Fabaceae.
CAAAAAUGGCAAGGUUUUAGACCAACUUCAACUCAGUAUUACAUCAUUAAGAAAGCUUCAAAUGAAAUUUUGUCCAACAUGAAAGUCGUAGAUCUUUCUCUCCCAUUUCCAAAAAGUCCAAGAUCAUCAAUUUCUCAUGUGUGCUUAACGAGAUAUGAUCGAAACUUGACAAAGUGUGGUUUGAACUUCAAAUGGGCAUAACUUCUCAACCAAAAGGCCAAUUUGAGUGGUUC